AAUUGGAGGGCAAGUCUGGUGCCAGCAGCCGCGGUAAUUCCAGCUCCAAUAGCGUAUAUUAAAGUUGUUGCAGUUAAAAAGCUCGUAGUUGAAUUUCGGGGUCAGUAGAUUGGUCGUGCCACUGGUAUGUACUGGUCUUACUGGCUCCUCCUUCCUGAUGAACCGUAAUGCCAUUAAUUUGGUGUUGCGGGGAGACUGGACUGUUACUUUGAAAAAAUUAGAGCGUUUAAAGCAGGCUAACGCUUGAAUACAUUAGCAUGGAAUAAUGAAAUAGGACGUUCGAUCUUAUUUUGUUGGUUUCUAGGAUUGACGUAAUGAUUAAUAGGGAUAGUUGGGGGCAUUAGUAUUCAAUUGUCAGAGGUGAAAUUCUUGGAUUUAUUGAAGACUAACUACUGCGAAAGCAUUUGCCAAGGAUGUUUUCAUUAAUCAAGAACGAAAGUUAGGGGAUCGAAGACGAUCAGAUACCGUCGUAGUCUUAACCAUAAACUAUGCCGACUAGGGAUCGGAUGAUGUUAAUUUUUUAAUGACUCAUUCGGCGCCUUACGGGAAACCAAAGUGU
This 559-nucleotide ribosomal RNA is filed under the name uncultured Glomus. Its description in RNAcentral is "SSU rRNA". It matches the Rfam family "Eukaryotic small subunit ribosomal RNA", at positions 546 to 1106 of the family's 1831-position model. Lineage: Eukaryota; Fungi; Glomeromycota; Glomeromycetes; Glomerales; Glomeraceae. The record is from RNAcentral.